Molecule: long non-coding RNA, 350 nt
Filed under: Solanum tuberosum (potato)
Lineage: Eukaryota; Viridiplantae; Streptophyta; Magnoliopsida; Solanales; Solanaceae
Description: long non-coding RNA (STUB_LNC000918)
Source: RNAcentral
UUCUAUGUAUGUAUUCUUGUAUUUAUAUUUAUAUAAAAAAUUUCUCCAAUAUUUUUCUCCUCCCCUAAACACAUCGAAAAAUGACCUUAAAUAAAUGAAGAAUAAGGUGAUUUUUUAGGGGGAAACGGGUGGAUUUUUGAAAUUCGAAAAUCACCUCCCUCUUAAGAGAUAAGGUUGAAGCUGUCAAUUGUCCCAUCUCAACAAUCUUCAACGGAUUGAUAAUGGAGAGGUAGGCGUUGUGCUCGAGGUCGUGAUUUGCUGCUGAAUUUCCGCGAUUUCGUUGGGUUAGCAACGCGAUUUGUUCGCUGGUUUUUGUUGUUGUUACGUGAAGAAGAUGAGGCAGUGGGGUC